CCCGUGUGUUCCUAAAGUAAGGUUAGUUGACUACAACCUGUCAUUGCAAAUAUAUCUCAAAAUGCUGACAGUGUACAUGCUGUUUGGACUUUUAGCCAUGUCCAGUGCGAUGCCCGUUGAGCGCGGUGCGUGCGUGAUCAUGUGUCAUCCGGGAUUCGGGCUGUUUGCGGACCUUAACCUGCCAGAGUGCCCGACCGACCACCACUGCCGAUCGACCGGAUGUGGAACCCUCUGUGUCCAUGACUCAAUGAUCACAACCACACCAGCGACGCCACUCUGAUGGAUGAAAUGUUCUGUGAUAUACGUGAUCUGUGCAAAAGCGUGAUGAGUACAUCGUGAAACGUUUUCGUGAUGUAAUUAAAUGUUUGCGUGUA
Molecule: long non-coding RNA, 374 nt
Organism: Mya arenaria
Lineage: Eukaryota; Metazoa; Mollusca; Bivalvia; Myida; Myidae
Exons: 2
Source: RefSeq, a predicted model, not a curated record